This 253-nucleotide ribosomal RNA is filed under the name uncultured bacterium. RNAcentral's name for it is "partial 16S ribosomal RNA". It matches the Rfam family "Bacterial small subunit ribosomal RNA", at positions 524 to 776 of the family's 1533-position model. The record is from RNAcentral.
UACGUAGGGUGCAAGCGUUGUCCGGAAUUAUUGGGCGUAAAGAGCUCGUAGGCGGUCUGUUGCGUAGGGCGUGAAAUGCCAGGGCUCAACCCCGGGACUGCGUCCGAUACUUCCGAGCUGGAGGUAGGUAGGGGAGAUCGGAAUUCCUGGUGUAGCGGUGAAAUGCGCAGAUAUCAGGAGGAACACCGGUGGCGAAGGCGGAUCUCUGGGCCGUACCUGACGCUGAGGCGCGAAAGCUAGGGGAGCGAACAGG